This 1399-nucleotide small RNA is filed under the name Histoplasma capsulatum. Its description in RNAcentral is "hypothetical RNA". Lineage: Eukaryota; Fungi; Ascomycota; Eurotiomycetes; Onygenales; Ajellomycetaceae. The record is from RNAcentral. RNAcentral also lists the same sequence under 1 other name.
CAUGGAUAUAAACAAACGAACAACGAAAAUCCCCAGCCAAGGCCAACUUGUUUGGUGAAUUAAAAGACUCCUCGGGCUGAACCUGGAAGUUUCAAUUUCCCCUGGCAUCUUCAAAAAUUUUUAGUUUCAAGUCCUUGGGCAUUGAGCGUGGUACUGGUAAUGUUAGGGUUUUCAUCUGUCCUUUUCCACUCCCGCCUGCCCGCCCCAUAAACCGCUCAAUUGUUGAUGGAAUAAACCAGCGAUGAUAUAUGAAGAUCUUUGGAAUCCCUAGAUUCAAGCUUGAUAUUCUUAGUUCUUAUAUAAUCCUUUGUCUUUCUUUAAAAAUUAAAAAUUGAAAUUGAAAUAUAACUAAAAUAACGAUAAAUAAACGGGUCAAGAUAUAAAUGCAUAAAAAAAACAGAACUAGAAGCAAAUCUUAUUUACGUUGAACUUGUUCAAAUUACAAGCAUUCAUUCCAUGGCUUGAAAUGGUCUGAAGCCUGUAGGUUUUGUACCUGAGGCAUGUCGACAAACGGAGUGACUCCUGACUUUGAUGAUGAUUAUAUCGUUUCCCGGCAGCCUGAUGAGGCUUGCUCGUUGAUCGUUUGUGCGUAGAUGAACCCCCUCGCCUCUAGAUUUUUAAACAAUCUAGACGUUUUAGACGGUUGAGAAUGGCGUGGAGCGGUCCUGGUGGGGCAAAGUGGAGGAGUGCGCUAUUUUGGCGGAGAAAGACCAACUUUCAACGGUUUCUUCCCCUUGACGAAGUGGUUUGCUUCUUGGGGUCUUGAGUGGCGAGAUGUGGGAGGCUUUCUUCCUUGCGCUUUUUCUGUGGGCCCGCUGAUUUUGUUUUUGAUAAUAAAUAGGAGUCGAGUUGAGAUCAUGGUUAUUGGGAGGGCAGGGGGUAAAUUGGAUAUAUAGUGAGUGAGCAGAUCAGUAGAGCCUUCAAGGGCGUUGAUGACAUCACCAACAGAACCGAAGGAUCUUUACUUGAACAAAUUCCAUAAGUUUUAUGUGUGACUUGGGCUGAAAGCCCCUUUGUCAUUUUCAUCCAAAGCGAGCAACCUCUGCACUUAUGGAGUCAAAGUUGGCCCCUUCUCCUUUUUUCUGAAAAAAAGAUUGAGGACUGAGAAGAAGGCUACUUGAUUGAAGAGAUUGGUUUCAAUCAGCUAUCCUGGCAGUAAACCAACUCUAUCAAUGAUAUUCAUGAAAUGAUAUCCAGGAGGAUCAUUAGGGAGUUUAAAAAGAGAGAGAAAAAGAGAGUGCGUAGGAACGACACUCUCCAUACCGGCCAACACCAAACACCAAAAAAGUUUUGAUAGGAGAACCCAAUAUAUGCACCAUACCUGCAGACAGAGGCUCAUGCCCCUGGCCUCAAGCUUGCAGCAGACAGGCACGACAAGAGCAGGGUGCAGGGUGCAUGG